RNAcentral lists this transfer RNA (70 nucleotides) under Bos taurus (domestic cattle). It matches the Rfam family "tRNA". Rfam says of the family: Transfer RNA (tRNA) molecules are approximately 80 nucleotides in length. Their secondary structure includes four short double-helical elements and three loops (D, anti-codon, and T loops). RNAcentral also lists the same sequence under 5 other names. The record is from Rfam by way of RNAcentral. Lineage: Eukaryota; Metazoa; Chordata; Mammalia; Artiodactyla; Bovidae.
UCUUGGCAGCUCAGUGGUAAAGAAUCUGCCUCCCAAGCAGGAUACCUGGGUUCAAUCCCUGGGUCGGGAA